This 492-nucleotide ribosomal RNA is filed under the name uncultured bacterium. Its description in RNAcentral is "partial 16S ribosomal RNA". It matches the Rfam family "Bacterial small subunit ribosomal RNA", at positions 29 to 507 of the family's 1533-position model. The record is from RNAcentral.
AGUGAACGCUGGCGGUAGGCCUAACACAUGCAAGUCGAACGGCAGCACAGUAAGCGCUUGCUCUUACGGGUGGCGAGUGGCGGACGGGUGAGGAAUACAUCGGAAUCUACUUUUUCUUGGGGGAUAACGUAGGGAAACUUCCGCUAAUACCGCAUACGACCUACGGGUGAAAGCAGGGGAUCUUCAGACCUUGCGCGAUUGAAUGAGCCGAUGUCGGAUUAGCUAGUUGGCGGGGUAAAGGCCCACCAAGGCGACGCUCCGUAGCUGGUCUGAGAGGAUGAUCAGCCACACUGGAACUGAGACACGGUCCAGACUCCUACGGGAGGCAGCAGUGGGGAAUAUUGGACAAUGGGCGCAAGCCUGAUCCAGCCAUACCGCGUGAGUGAAGAAGGCCUUCGGGUUGUAAAGCCCUUUUGUUGGGAAAGAAAAGCAGCAUGUGAAUACCCCGCUGUUCUGACGGUACCCAAAGAAUAAGCACCGGCUAACUUCGUG